GAUGAACGCUGGCGGCGUGCCUAAUACAUGCAAGUCGAGCGAACAGACGAGGAGCUUGCUCCUCUGACGUUAGCGGCGGACGGGUGAGUAACACGUGGAUAACCUACCUAUAAGACUGGGAUAACUUCGGGAAACCGGAGCUAAUACCGGAUAAUAUAUUGAACCGCAUGGUUCAAUAGUGAAAGACGGUUUUGCUGUCACUUAUAGAUGGAUCCGCGCCGCAUUAGCUAGUUGGUAAGGUAACGGCUUACCAAGGCAACGAUGCGUAGCCGACCUGAGAGGGUGAUCGGCCACACUGGAACUGAGACACGGUCCAGACUCCUACGGGAGGCAGCAGUAGGGAAUCUUCCGCAGUGGGCGAAAGCUUGACGGAGCAACGCCGCGUGAGUGAUGAAGGUCUUCGGAUCGUAAAACUCUGUUAUUAGGGAAGAACAAAUGUGUAAGUAACUAUGCACGUCUUGACGGUACCUAAGCAGAAAGCCACGGCUAACUACGU
RNAcentral lists this ribosomal RNA (496 nucleotides) under uncultured bacterium. Its description in RNAcentral is "partial 16S ribosomal RNA". It matches the Rfam family "Bacterial small subunit ribosomal RNA", at positions 28 to 506 of the family's 1533-position model. The record is from RNAcentral.